Molecule: long non-coding RNA, 311 nt
Organism: Rhipicephalus sanguineus (brown dog tick)
Lineage: Eukaryota; Metazoa; Arthropoda; Arachnida; Ixodida; Ixodidae
Exons: 3
Source: RefSeq, a predicted model, not a curated record
AUGGAAAGGGUCGGGGUUUGGCUUAGUACCCAGAAACAAGCGAAGUGGUCGUGAGCUAUUGAGGUAGGAUUGAGGUGGGCAUGGCGGUGGGCAUUGGGGUGUGAUUGAUGUGGGCAUUGCAAAGGGAUUGAGGUGGGAAUUGCGGUGGGAUUGAUGUGGGCGUUGAGGAGGGGUAUAGGUGCUGCUGAGAUGCGUAUUGUGGUGGCAUUGAGGCAGACAAUGAGGCAGACAUUGAGGCGGGAACCUUCUUUUCAAUUGGUACGUCUCGCGUGACGUGUAGGCCAUUCAAAUAUACUGACGUAGUUAAAAAA